Molecule: ribosomal RNA, 259 nt
Filed under: uncultured prokaryote
Description: partial 16S ribosomal RNA
Rfam family: Bacterial small subunit ribosomal RNA
Source: RNAcentral
UACGUAGGAUGCGAGCGUUAUCCGGAUUUAUUGGGUUUAAAGGGUGCGUAGGCGGCUUUUUAAGUCAGCGGUGAAAUUUUGCAGCUUAACUGUAACAGUGCCGUUGAUACUGGGGAGCUAGGAUUUGGUUGCUGUGGGUGGAAUGUGUGGUGUAGCGGUGAAAUGCUUAGAUAUCACACAGAACACCGAUUGCGAAGGCAGCACACUAAGUCAUUAUUGACGCUGAGGCACGAAAGUGUGGGGAUCAAACAGGAUUAGA